Molecule: long non-coding RNA, 1241 nt
Filed under: Equus asinus (donkey)
Lineage: Eukaryota; Metazoa; Chordata; Mammalia; Perissodactyla; Equidae
Description: lncRNA (ENSEASG00005025276.1)
Source: RNAcentral
CGGGAUUCUGUUAUUUGCAGUUGGAUGAGCUCUGCCUGAAGGACGAGGCUUUAAACAACCAGGGCCUGUUGAUUCUCCAGGGGCCCACGGCAAACACAGCCCUUCAGAACACAAAAACACAGCUGCUCUUUGAAAGAGGCGGAGAGAGGGGAAAAUACUUUGCAUUCUCUUGCGAUGAAUCAGGAGCCAAAAUAAGACCUGGUUCAUUUCUCAAGCGGGUUAUCCUGCCCAACCGCUAUUACUCAUCCCAGCCCCGACCAGCCCGAGGUUGGCGUGGCCCUGGCCCAGGGAGCCUGCCGUGCUCAGAGCCUCCCCAGAUUUUCCACGCUCGUGUGAAAAGCGUGUGCGUCGUGGCUCCUUCUCCUCCGGCUCAUCCUCCUGGGAGCUGGGCUGUCUGGAGCUCCAGGGUCCAGCCAAGUCAACCCCUAACAAAACGCAGGGAUGCACAGGGAGCCUCUGGAAACCUCGCCCCUGCAGAGAGGUCCAGAGAAGCUGGCCUGGCCGCUUCUUACUGAGCAGCGGGCUAGCACAGGACCUCAGCAUCAAGGAGGGGUCAGCCGGGGAUAGAUGAGGAAAGGCUUCAAAGGUUGGGCCGAGGAGCCUCCGGUGGCUCCUCGUUCCGUGGCUUGUGGCCUCUCGCGGCAUCUCUGGGUCUCAGAUCUCCCCCACCUUUCUCUGAUAAAGACAGCGAUCACUGGAUGCAGGGCCCACCGUCCAUCCAGAUCCUUAACUUGAUGACAUCUGCAAAGACCCUCUUUCCAAAUAGGGUCACAGUCACAGGCACCGCUACAAGGAAAUUACAAUGACACUCAUGACUCACAUAAAUUAUCUUUCUGCUGGGGGAGACUGGCGUCAAGGAAGUGCCCGCUGUGAACAUUCUCAGAAGGUUACCCAGACGCGUGCGUUCUCCUUGUGCUUCUAAAAUUGCUCCUGUCCCGUCAGUGGCCGGCCCGGCGGGGAUGCGCCAGGCAGGGCGUAAUUGCUGCCCUCUGCUCACCUCCGGAGGCACACGCUGUUCCCAUUUUUCUUGCGAUCAGUACCUCUGAGACACACACUUUCGAACUAGCGCUGGAGAUAUCUGGAAAUAAAGUCAAAUCUUUGUAUAUGAUGAAAAUAUUUUGGAAAAGAAAUAUCCAGUCUUAAAUCAACAGAAAUAAAAUCUAGGUACAUCUUGAAUAAACAAAACAAAAUGUAAUUUUGGAAGGGGUGCCUAGGCUGGGCCAGGCUCCCCAGGGGAUCGG